RNAcentral lists this long non-coding RNA (2380 nucleotides) under Sorghum bicolor (sorghum). RNAcentral describes it as "long non-coding RNA (SBIC_LNC010509)". Lineage: Eukaryota; Viridiplantae; Streptophyta; Magnoliopsida; Poales; Poaceae. The record is from RNAcentral.
UCCGAAUUAGAAUACAAAACGGUCCGCAAGUGGGAAAAAUUUGCGGCGGUGGCUAGAAAUUAAUGGAAACGGUGGGAAAAAACACACAAACUCGACUGAAACAAGACCUAACCAGUAACAAGACCUCGACCAGGACACAAACUCAACACUACGGACAAAGGCUAUGGCGCGGAUGGGUUGUAGGACAUGAAAACAAUAUGCCACUAGACUUAUGGGAUGAACACAAGGACACUCGAAACUAAGGGUAGAUGUGAACCUAACGGUAUGUGUCAUGCUUUGAUUACCACUUGAGGAGAACAAGUGUGGCCCGAUCUUCCGAAAGGUUCUGGUAACUAUCGAUUUGGUGGAAUCGAGACACAAAUCAAUCCAGCUUGCGAACAACACGAUUCGAAACCCAACAAUUCUUUUUUAUUUUUUUUAUAUUUUUCUUUCACUUAGGAGCACUCAAGAAGUAACCAUAGGAAAUUAGAGCUUAAACAAGUGAAAGACGUGGCCUGUGGAAAUUUUUGGAAAUUGUGAAAAAUAUGAAAAAAACUUUUGGAGGUGAAAACUCAAACUUCAGAGGCGAAUUUGGGGAUUCUAAAAUUGUCAAACCCGCACACGGCGGGGAUAGACAGAUCCAAAAAUUUGGUUUGAUCGAUUUUGAUAUAUGGAACGUCAAAAUCGGAGUUCGUAUGCGGAAAUUAUGGCUGUUUUACGAACGGACUCUGAAUUAGAAGACAAAACGGUCCGGAAGUGGAUAAAAUUUGCGGCGGUGGCUAGAAAUUGAUGGAAACGGUGGGAAGAAGCACACAAAUUGGACUCUAACAAGACCUAACGAGUAACAAGACCUCGACUAGUACACAAAUUCAACACUACGGACUGUGAAACUGAAAUAUGCAAAGGCUAUGGCGCGGAUGGGUUGUAGGACAUGAAAACAAUAUGCCACUAGACUUAUGGGACGAACACAAAGACACUCGAAACUAAGGGUAGAUGUGAACCUAACGGUAUGUCUCAUGCUUUGAUUACCACUUGAGGAGAACAAGUGUGGCCCGAUCUUCCGAAAGGUUCUCAUAACUAUCGAUUUGGUGGAAACGAGACACAAAUCAAUCCAGCUUACGAACAACACGGUUUGAAACCCUACAAUUCUUUUUUUUUUGAUAUUUUCCUUUUACUUAGGAGCACUCAAGAAGUAAGCACAGAAAAUUUGAGCUUAAACAAGUGAAAGACGUGGCUUGUGGAAUUUUUUGAAGAUUGCGAAAAAUAUAAAAAAAUUAGGAGGUGAAAACUCAAACUUCAGAGGCGAAUUUGGGGAUUCUAAAAUUACUGAACCUGCCUUUGGCUGAAAUAUGCGAAGGCUAUGGUGCGGAUGGGUUGUAGGACAUGAAAACAAUAUGGCACUAGACUUAUGGGACGAACACAAGGACACUCGAAACUAAGGGUAGAUGUGAACCUAAUGGUAUGUCUCAUGCUUUGAUUACCACUUGAGGAGAACAAGUGUGGCCCGAUCUUCCGAAAGGUUCUGGUAAAUAUCGAUCUGGUGGAAACGAGACACAAAUCAAUCCAGGUUGCAAACAACACGAUUCGAAACCCUACAAUUCUUUUUAUUUUUUUAUAUUUUUCUUUUACUUAGGAGCACUCAAGAAGUAACCACAUGAAAUUUGAGCUUAAACAAGUGAAAGACGUGGCAUGUGGAAAUUUUUGAAAAUUACAAAAAAUAUGAAAAAAACUUUUAGAGGUGAAAACUCAAACUUCAGAGGCAAAUUUGGGGACUAUAAAAUUGUCAAACCCACACACGGCGGGGAUAAACUGAUCCAAAAAUUUGGUUUGAUCGAUUUGGAUAUAUGGAACGUCAAAAUCGGAGUUCGUAUGCGAAAAUUAUGGUUGUUUUACGAACGGACUCCGAAUUAGAAGACAAAACGGUCCGCAAGUGGGAAAAAUUUGCGGCGGUGGCUAGAAAUUGAUGAAAACGGUGGGAAAAAACACACAAACUGGACUCAAACAAGACCUAACCAGUAACAAGACCUCGACCAGGACACAAACUCAACACUACGGACAAAGGCUAUGGCGCGGAUGGGUUGUAGGACAUGAAAACAAUAUGGCACUAGACUUAUGGGACGAACACAAAGACACUCGAAACUAAGGGUAGAUGUGAACCUAACGGUAUGUCUCAUGCUUUGAAUACCACUUGAGGAGAACAAGUGUGGCCCGAUCUUCCGAAAGGUUCUGGUAACUAUCGAUUUGGUGGAAACGAGACACAAAUCAAUCCAGCUUGCCAACAACACGAUUCGAAACCCUACAAUUCUUUUUAUUUUUUUAUAUUUUUCUUUUACUUAGGAGCACUCAAGAAGUAACCACAGGAAAUUGGAGCUUAAACAAGUGAAAGACGUGGCCUGUGGAA